Molecule: ribosomal RNA, 468 nt
Filed under: uncultured bacterium
Lineage: Bacteria
Description: partial 16S ribosomal RNA
Rfam family: Bacterial small subunit ribosomal RNA
Source: RNAcentral
GACGAACGCUGGCGGCGUGCUUAACACAUGCAAGUCGAACGGAAAGGCCCUGCUUUUGUGGGGUGCUCGAGUGGCGAACGGGUGAGUAACACGUGAGUAACCUGCCCUUGACUUUGGGAUAACUUCAGGAAACUGGGGCUACUACCGGAUAGGAUCUCCUGCUGCAUGGUGGGGGUUGGAAAGUUUCGGCGGUUGGGGAUGGACUCGCGGCUUAUCAGCUUGUUGGUGGGGUAGUGGCUUACCAAGGCUUUGACGGGUAGCCGGCCUGAGAGGGUGACCGGCCACAUUGGGACUGAGAUACGGCCCAGACGCCUACGGGAGGCAGCAGUGGGGAAUAUUGCACAAUGGGCGGAAGCCUGAUGCAGCAACGCCGCGUGCGGGAUGACGGCCUUCGGGUUGUAAACCGCUUUCGCCUGUGACGAAGCGUGAGUGACGGUAAUGGGUAAAGAAGCACCGGCUAACUACGUG